This 158-nucleotide non-coding RNA is filed under the name Tinamus guttatus (white-throated tinamou). Its description in RNAcentral is "Eukaryotic large subunit ribosomal RNA". It matches the Rfam family "Eukaryotic large subunit ribosomal RNA", at positions 2825 to 2984 of the family's 3401-position model. Lineage: Eukaryota; Metazoa; Chordata; Aves; Tinamiformes; Tinamidae. The record is from Rfam by way of RNAcentral.
GAUAAGUGGUUUGUGAUGACUAAAGCACUCAUAGCCACAUGGCUGUUUGGUCCUUUGAAGUUGGCUCUUCCUGUCACCAAGCAGAAAUCACCAAGCCUUGGAUUGCUCACCCACUGAUAGGGAACGUGAGCGAGGUUUCAGACCUCAUGAGACAGGAC